CGCAAGGUGAGUGGCAGACGGGUGAGUAACGCGUGGGAACCUUCCCUUUGGUACGGAAUAACUUCGGGAAACCGAAGCUAGUACCGUAUAAGUCCUUCGGGAGAAAGAUUUAUCGCCAAAGGAUGGGCCCGCGUUGGAUUAGCUAGUUGGUAGGGUAAAGGCCUACCAAGGCUACGAUCCAUAGCUGGUCUGAGAGGAUGAUCAGCCACACUGGGACUGAGACACGGCCCAGACUCCUACGGGAGGCAGCAGUGGGGAAUAUUGGACAAUGGGGGCAACCCUGAUCCAGCCAUGCCGCGUGAGCGAAGAAGGCCUUAGGG
Molecule: ribosomal RNA, 320 nt
Filed under: uncultured bacterium
Lineage: Bacteria
Description: bacterial SSU rRNA
Rfam family: Bacterial small subunit ribosomal RNA
Source: RNAcentral